AAAAACAUUUUUAUUUUUAAAAAAGAUUUAAUAAAAAGAAAAAAAAAAUUGGCCAAGAUUAUCCUCUCACCUCCCCUCCUCUUCCAUCCAUGUAAUUCGAACCAUUCAGACUCUAAGACUAUAACCAAAAUUUUAAGUCCACGUUGCCUUUGCGCUCACUCUAUAUAUAGAGCACUAUCUAUUGUUUGAAAUCGUACAUAGCUCUAGCUUUCUAUAAUUUUUUCUUUAAGAUGUCUUACUUUAAGAAGCUUAUGUUGAAUAUGGUUUUGUUGUUUGUGCUUCUUAUAACAAUUGAAUUGGCAUCUGCAAGGGCACCCCUUUGGGUUUCUGAGCCUCGUCUCAAAGCAUGUAAGUUUCUUUGUAUCUCUAAAAUUUAUUCUUUUAUAAAAUGUUCUAACCUUUAAAUUAAACUAUUAAUAAAAUAUUCAUAUUUCAUACAUAUGUCCUUUAAAUUAUGGCCCAUCAAGAUUUAGUAAAAUGAAAGCUCAUCUUUUUCAUCCCUCACAUGUAUUUUAGAUUGAUGAAUCAGAAAAAAAAUCAUUUUAAAAUCUAUAAUAAACUGACUAAAAUUAUAGAAUAGAUUUUUUACGAGAAAAAUCUAAAAUAAAUGGACACAUAUUCUCUAAAAAGUUUUGUUUUUCGCCAUAUAUUUUUAAAAUCUACGCAUGUGUCAUGAAAUAUACAUUUAAAAAUACAAAAUUGUGUUUUUAAAGAUGGAGACCGGAUAGAAAACUUUAUAUAUUUUUCCAAAAAUAUAUUGAAAGUACAUAUAUUUUCGAAAUUCAUUUUGGAAUGGUAAUGACUUUUCAAUAUUCUGUUGUGGACUUUUAAGAUGGACGCAGACUGACGGCUGAUGAUGGAAGAAACCACCAUUAUCAUAAUCAUCCCUGAAUCCAGAUGGACCCUUAAUUGAGGAACCAAGGCUCAAUUAUAUGCUGCCAAUUCAAAUGUUAGAUAAUAAUCUAUUGAAUUUUUGUUAUUGAGCAUUUUACAUUUCUAUAUUAGUAAUCUUGUUAUUUUAAUUUGGUUUGUUAUAUAUUUUACUUGUAAUGUAUACUUUCAUAAAUUAUACUAUUGAUAUUGAUAUUGAUAUUAUUAUAUCUCUAGCUAGUCUCUUUCUUAUUUUUCG
RNAcentral lists this long non-coding RNA (1129 nucleotides) under Trifolium pratense (red clover). RNAcentral's name for it is "long non-coding RNA (TPRA_LNC010742)". The record is from RNAcentral. Lineage: Eukaryota; Viridiplantae; Streptophyta; Magnoliopsida; Fabales; Fabaceae.